GACGAACGCUGGCGGCGUGCCUAAUACAUGCAAGUAGGACGCAGUUGCGAACGGGAGAGUAACGCGUAGGUAACUACCUAUUAGAGGGGGAUAACUAUUGGAAACGAUAGCUAAUACCGCAUACUAGUAGAUGGACCUGCGUUGUAUUAGCUAGUAGGUCGGGUAAUGGCCUAACUAGGCAACGGUACAUAACCGACCGGAGGAGGGGAACGGCCACACUGGGACUGAGACACGGGCCAAACUCCGACGGGAGGCAGCAGGAGGGAAUCUUCGGCAAUGGGGCGAACCCUGACCGCACAACGCCGCGGGAGGGAAGGAGGUUUUCGGAACGGAAAGCUCUGUUGUUAAGGAAGCGGUACUUAACCAGAAAGGGACGGCUAACUACGUGCCAGCAGCCGCGGUAAUAC
RNAcentral lists this ribosomal RNA (407 nucleotides) under uncultured bacterium. RNAcentral describes it as "partial 16S ribosomal RNA". It matches the Rfam family "Bacterial small subunit ribosomal RNA", at positions 28 to 526 of the family's 1533-position model. The record is from RNAcentral.